This 460-nucleotide ribosomal RNA is filed under the name uncultured bacterium. Its description in RNAcentral is "partial 16S ribosomal RNA". It matches the Rfam family "Bacterial small subunit ribosomal RNA", at positions 338 to 795 of the family's 1533-position model. The record is from RNAcentral.
CCUACGGGGGGCAGCAGUGAGGAAUAUUGGUCAAUGGACGAGAGUCUGAACCAGCCAAGUAGCGUGAAGGAUGACUGCCCUAUGGGUUGUAAACUUCUUUUAUAUGGGAAUAAAAUGUUCCACGUGUGGGAUUUUGUAUGUACCAUAUGAAUAAGGAUCAGCUAACUCCGUGCCAGCAGCCGCGGUAAUACGGAGGAUCCGAGCGUUAUCCGGAUUUAUUGGGUUUAAAGGGAGCGUAGGUGGAUUGUUAAGUCAGUUGUGAAAGUUUGCGGCUCAACCGUAAAAUUGCAGUUGAAACUGGCAGUCUUGAGUACAGUAGAGGUGGGCGGAAUUCGUGGUGUAGCGGUGAAAUGCUUAGAUAUCACGAAGAACUCCGAUUGCGAAGGCAGCUCACUGGACUGCAACUGACACUGAGGCACGAAAGCGUGGGUAGCAAACAGGAUUAGAUACCCCAGUAGUC